RNAcentral lists this ribosomal RNA (440 nucleotides) under uncultured bacterium. Its description in RNAcentral is "partial 16S ribosomal RNA". It matches the Rfam family "Bacterial small subunit ribosomal RNA", at positions 338 to 795 of the family's 1533-position model. The record is from RNAcentral.
CCUACGCGCGGCUGCAGUGGGGGAUAUUGCACAAUGGGGGGAACCCUGAUGCAGCGACGCCGCGUGGGUGAAGAAGCGCCUCGGCGCGUAAAGCCCUGUCAGCAGGGAAGAAAAUGACGGUACCUGAAGCAGAAGCCCCGGCUAACUACGUGCCAGCAGCCGCGGUAAUACGUAGGGGGCAAGCGGUAUCCGGCUUUACUGGGUGUAAAGGGGGCGCAGACGGCGAUGCAAGCCAGGAGUGAAAGCCCGGGGCCUAACCGCGGGACUGCUCUUGGAACUGCGUGGCUGGAGUGCAGGAGGGGCAGGCGGAAUUCCUGGUGUAGCGGUGAAAUGCGUAGAUAGCAGGAGGAACACCGGUGGCGAAGGCGGCCUGCUGGACUGCAACUGACGUUGAGGCCCGAAAGCGUGGGGAGCAAACAGGAUUAGAUACCCUUGUAGUC